This 459-nucleotide ribosomal RNA is filed under the name uncultured bacterium. Its description in RNAcentral is "partial 16S ribosomal RNA". It matches the Rfam family "Bacterial small subunit ribosomal RNA", at positions 338 to 795 of the family's 1533-position model. The record is from RNAcentral.
CCUACGGGGUGCAGCAGUGAGGAAUAUUGGUCAAUGGGCGCGAGCCUGAACCAGCCAAGUCGCGUGAGGGAAGACGGUCCUAUGGAUUGUAAACCUCUUUUGUCGGGGAGCAAUAGACGCCACGCUUGGCGUUCCGCGAGUACCCGAAGAAAAAGCACCGGCGAACUCCGUGCCAGCAGCCGCGGUAAUACGGAGGUUGCGAGCGUUAUCCGGAUUUAUUGGGGUUAAAGGGUGCGCAGGAGGAAGAUCAAGUCAGCGGUAAAAUUGAGAGGCUCAACCUCUUCGAGCCGUUGAAACUGGUUUUCUUGAGUGAGUGAGAAGUAUGCGGAAUGCGUGGUGUAGCGGUGAAAUGCAUAGAUAUCACGCAGAACUCCGAUUGCGAAGGCAGCAUACCGGCGCUCAACUGACGCUCAUGCACGAAAGUGUGGGUAUCGAACAGGAUUAGAUACCCGAGUAGUC